UACGAAGGGGGCUAGCGUUGCUCGGAAUCACUGGGCGUAAAGCGCACGUAGGCGGCUUUUUAAGUCAGGGGUGAAAUCCUGGAGCUCAACUCCAGAACUGCCUUUGAUACUGGGAAGCUUGAGUCCGGAAGAGGUGAGUGGAACUCCGAGUGUAGAGGUGAAAUUCGUAGAUAUUCGGAAGAACACCAGUGGCGAAGGCGGCUCACUGGUCCGGUACUGACGCUGAGGUGCGAAAGCGUAGGGAGCAAACAGG
Molecule: ribosomal RNA, 253 nt
Filed under: uncultured bacterium
Lineage: Bacteria
Description: partial 16S ribosomal RNA
Rfam family: Bacterial small subunit ribosomal RNA
Source: RNAcentral